This 818-nucleotide ribosomal RNA is filed under the name Psychrobacter sp. GSDP4_III. Its description in RNAcentral is "bacterial SSU rRNA". It matches the Rfam family "Bacterial small subunit ribosomal RNA", at positions 76 to 890 of the family's 1533-position model. Lineage: Bacteria; Pseudomonadati; Pseudomonadota; Gammaproteobacteria; Moraxellales; Moraxellaceae. RNAcentral also lists the same sequence under 1 other name. The record is from RNAcentral.
CAGCUUGCUGGUAGGCGUCGAGCGGCGGACGGGUGAGUAAUACUUAGGAAUCUACCUAGUAGUGGGGGAUAGCUCGGGGAAACUCGAAUUAAUACCGCAUACGACCUACGGGAGAAAGGGGGCAACUUGUUGCUCUCGCUAUUAGAUGAGCCUAAGUCGGAUUAGCUAGAUGGUGGGGUAAAGGCCUACCAUGGCGACGAUCUGUAGCUGGUCUGAGAGGAUGAUCAGCCACACCGGGACUGAGACACGGCCCGGACUCCUACGGGAGGCAGCAGUGGGGAAUAUUGGACAAUGGGGGCAACCCUGAUCCAGCCAUGCCGCGUGUGUGAAGAAGGCCUUUUGGUUGUAAAGCACUUUAAGCAGUGAAGAAGACUCUGUGGUUAAUACCCACAGACGAUGACAUUAGCUGCAGAAUAAGCACCGGCUAACUCUGUGCCAGCAGCCGCGGUAAUACAGAGGGUGCAAGCGUUAAUCGGAAUUACUGGGCGUAAAGCGAGCGUAGGUGGCUUGAUAAGUCAGAUGUGAAAUCCCCGGGCUUAACCUGGGAACUGCAUCUGAUACUGUUAAGCUAGAGUAGGUGAGAGGGAAGUAGAAUUUCAGGUGUAGCGGUGAAAUGCGUAGAGAUCUGAAGGAAUACCGAUGGCGAAGGCAGCUUCCUGGCAUCAUACUGACACUGAGGCUCGAAAGCGUGGGUAGCAAACAGGAUUAGAUACCCUGGUAGUCCACGCCGUAAACGAUGUCUACUAGUCGUUGGGUCCCUUGAGGACUUAGUGACGCAGCUAACGCAAUAAGUAGACCGCCUGGGGAGUACGGCCGCA